GCCAGCUCUUCCUUCCCGGCUGUGAAGACAUUCUGUAAAAAGGGGUGGGGAUUGCCUGUGGGUGCUGGGGAGCGUUUGGCGGGGAACCCAGCAGGUAGAAGAGUAGCAAGCAGCCUGGAAAAUGGGGAGCAGCAGGUAAAAGUGGGUCCGAUCACUUUCGGCCGGACCUUUCCUGUGGCACCUGUCCCUCACCUCCCCGGAGACUGCUUUGGAUAGAAGGAGGGCUUCCGGGGAGAGAGACCCUGGAACUGGGGCUUGAGGUUCACGGGGACAUUCAUCUCCCAACAACCGAGCGUCAUUUUCAUGUUCCGGUGGACCUGGAUGUGCCAUCAGCACCAAUCCAUCAUGGAGGAAGGCCACCCGUAUUUAUCUGGCCUGCAGGCAGGAGACCGUUUCCAGCUGCUCGGCACUGAACUCCAGGGGAUUGUUUUGGGGAAUCAGUAACUGGAUGAGGGAAGAUCAAC
Molecule: long non-coding RNA, 464 nt
Filed under: Mustela putorius furo (domestic ferret)
Lineage: Eukaryota; Metazoa; Chordata; Mammalia; Carnivora; Mustelidae
Description: lncRNA (ENSMPUG00000025070.1)
Source: RNAcentral